GCCAAAUAGCUAGCUCAACAAUCAAAACCAAAACCACAUAAUUAAUAAGUUUUACUUUACCCAACUUAACAUAAAUAAAACAUUUUCCCGCCUUAGUAUCGGUGACAGAAAAAGCACUUGAAGCAAUAGAAACUAGUACCGCAAGGAAAAGCUGAAAGAGAAAUGAAACAACCCAUUUAAGCCUAAAAAAGCAGAGAUUUUACCUCGUACCUUUUGCAUCAUGAUUUAGCCAGAACCCCUGAGCAAAGAGAAACUAUAGUUCUUUACCCCGAAACCAAGUGAGCUACCCCGAGACAGCCUACAUAGGGCCAACCCGUCUCUGUGGCAAAAGAGUGGGAAGAUCUCCGGGUAGCGGUGACAGACCUAUCGAACUUGGUGAUAGCUGGUUGCCUAAGAAAUGGAUAUAAGUUCAGCCUCGUUUUCCUCCCCCCACGAGAAAAACUUCCCCACGGAAUAGAGAAAAACACGAGAGUUAGUCAGAGGGGGUACAGCCCCUCUGAACCAGAACACAAUCUGACUCAGGAGGUUAAAAAUUAGUAAACAAGAUGUACCACUUAAGUGGGCCUAAAAGCAGCCAUCAACUUAGAAAGCGUUAAGCUCAGGUAAAUCCAAAAUCUAUUAUCCUAUUAUUUUAUUCUAAACCCCUAUUACUAUUAGCCGUCCAUGCCACAUGGGAGAGAUACUGCUAAAUGAGUACAGAGGAAACCCCUUCUCAGCCACGGUGUAAUAGAUCGGACUACCGCUAUUAUACGACCACCCAAGAGAAGAAAAAGUGACUUUAAUGAUAAAAUCAAGAAAACCCCACACAAUAAAUCGUUAACCCCACACUGGAGAACCUAAAGGAAAAGAAUAAAAGAAAAAGAAGGAACUCGGCAAACACAAGCCUCGCCUGUUUACCAAAAACAUCGCCUCCUGCAAAGAUCAAUGUAUAUGAGGUCCUACCUGCCCAGUGACCAUAUUUAAACGGCCGCGGUAUCUUGACCGUGCAAAGGUAGCGCAAUCACUUGUUUUUUAAAUAAAGACCUGUAUGAAUGGUGAAACGAGGGCUUAACUGUCUCCUUUUUCUGAUCAGUGAAAUUGAUCUACCCGUGCAGAAGCGGGUAUAAAUAUACAAGACGAGAAGACCCUAUGGAGCUUAAGACUUAAGUCAAUUACGUUAAUAAAUCCCUCUAAAAGAAAUAAACAAAAUAAUUACAUGACCACUGUCUUCGGUUGGGGCGACCACGGGGGAAAACAAAUCCCCCACGUGGAACGGGAAAUUCUCCUAAAACCACGAGGAACACCUCUAAGUCACAGAACCUCUGACCAAAAGAUCCGGUAUCUAGCCGAUCAACGAACCAAGUUACCCUAGGGAUAACAGCGCAAUCCUCUCCAAGAGUCCAUAUCGACAAGAGGGUUUACGACCUCGAUGUUGGAUCAGGACAUCCUAAUGGUGCAGCCGCUAUUAAGGGUUCGUUGUCAACGAUAAAGUCCUACGGGUUCGUUUUGUUCACGAUUAAGUCCUACGUGAUCUGAGUUCAGACCGGAGCAAUCCAGGUCAGUUUCUAUCUGUAACGUUGUCUCUUCUAGUACGAAAGGAUCGAAGACAUAAGGCCCCUAUUACAAAUACACCUUACUCCCAAUUAAUGAAACCAACUCAACUAAAUAAGGAAGAACAUAAAAACCACUAAAGAUAUUUAGA
Molecule: ribosomal RNA, 1681 nt
Filed under: Petitella bleheri (rummy-nose tetra)
Lineage: Eukaryota; Metazoa; Chordata; Actinopteri; Characiformes; Acestrorhamphidae
Description: 16S ribosomal RNA
Rfam family: Bacterial large subunit ribosomal RNA (bases 101-1566)
Source: RNAcentral